RNAcentral lists this long non-coding RNA (1208 nucleotides) under Parus major (Great Tit). Its description in RNAcentral is "lncRNA (ENSPMJG00000005461.1)". Lineage: Eukaryota; Metazoa; Chordata; Aves; Passeriformes; Paridae. The record is from RNAcentral.
GCGGGGGGCGGGCGCGCGCUGCGGCCGCGCCGCGUCACGCACCGCCCGCCCCGCCCCGCCCAGUGUGGGGCCGGGGGGGGCGGGGGGGGCCCCCCCCCCGGGGGGGGGGGGGGGGGGCGCCGGGGUCGACCCCCUUCGUCCCUCCUUUCCUUCCCCCCGCAUCUCCCCGCGUCGAGGGGGCCGCAGCCCGCCCCCUCCGCUGCCGGAAGCAGGGAGGGAAUGGGGACACCGUGGGUCCCGAGGGGCGAGCGGCGGCGGCCGCGGAGCAGCGGCCGAGCCUCGCCGGGGCCCGGCAGCGGCGGUACCGUUAUAGGCGCGCGGGGUGGCGCGAGCGGCUCCCGCACGUGCCGGCGGGGCGGGUCCCUCUGCCAGGCGCGAGGCGCGAGGCGCGGCGCGCGCGGUAACGCCGCGGGGCGGGAGCGCUGAGGGCAGGUGCACCAUGGAACCAUGGAGUGGGAAAAGCUGGGAGGCACCGCAGUCUGGGCCAAAAUGCAGGCGGGGUCAGCCUAGAGCACACGGCUCAGGUUUGCUUCCAGACGGUUCCUGGAUAACCGGGAGACCCCACGAUCUCUCUGGGCGACCUGUUCACUUGCUCACUUCUCCCCCACACCCAGUGUGGGGGGAAACAGAAAAGGAAAAGCAAGGAAACUGUCUCUUGAGACUCAGUAGUGUUUACUGCCAAAGUUCAUUCAUUUGGAUGACAGCCAGGAUAUCUUUGCUUUUAUGCUCUUUGAUGGGACAGUGCAGCUCCUGCUGUGACCUAAGAAACACCUUCAUGAUGAGGCUGACACUUCCAAGACAGCUUCUGAAACUGCUGGAUUGUUGUCCUAUCCCUAGAGUACGUCUCUGCACUGGGUAUUCAGUAAGGAAGAUUCAAGAUUUCUUUUAAAGAACUUUCAAGGCUCACUAACAUGAUUUUUGUGUUAUGAAAUCUAUAUUCCUGGGCAUGUGAAAGUUUCAGUUCAAAUACCCCUGUAUAAUGAGGGACUUUGGAAGCUGGAAGUUGACUGAUAGGAGAGAAGGCACCCUUGUCUCCCAAGCAAAAGCAUUUCUCUGCUGUGGGGAUCACACAGGAGAGUGAAUGUAUUGGAAUUGGAGCCUUAUUACCAGGGCAGGAACAAGUGCACGUUUUUCCUGAUACCCUAGAUGUGGAAAACUAGAUCAUAGAAGAAAAUAAAUAGUAUAAGCUGUCACUUUGUAGUUUGAAC